This 3091-nucleotide unclassified non-coding RNA is filed under the name Hevea brasiliensis (rubber tree). The record is from RNAcentral. Lineage: Eukaryota; Viridiplantae; Streptophyta; Magnoliopsida; Malpighiales; Euphorbiaceae.
CUCUCUCUCUCUCUCUCUUUUAGUUGCAUUUGGAAUCCAAAACUUGGGAUAUUUUACACAUGCUUCAUGCUCUCCAAAAUUACACGCACGACCAUUUCCCCCCUUAAUCUUCUUGUCAAAAACAACUUUUUCUUUGAAAAUUUACAGAGUAAAUGUUCAGCUCAAUACAGGAUCUACUGGCAUCUUGGUAUGGUACCAUGCUGCAAUACUUCCUUUUUGGAUAGAUACGUUGUCAAACAUAAGAUUACUAACAUUCGGGUAGGCUCGCAGCAGCGGGCACCCACUCAGUUAUGGAAACAUUCCCUCAAGAAAUUCAUCGAAGUUCUCAUCAUCAGUUUUGUGAUUGUCUCCUGAUAUUGAAGCCUUUUUACCUCUUUUCCUCUUCUCUUUGGCCCCUUCAUUAUCAGAAUCAUCAUUAAUUCUUUCUGGUUCCCUGAAAGUAGACAAUUGGUCAGCCUCUAAACAGCAGAAUUUGAGGCAAUCAUUAUUUAACCAUUAAAAAAACGCCUUCAAAAGUAUGAGAAAUCUAAAAAGAGCCCAUACCUCUUUCUUUUAUGCUCUUCCUUUUCCCUUUUCUCUAAUUGCUCCUUUUCUUUCUUAUUUUUGUAGUUAAGCUUUUCUGCACAUCUAUUUAUAAUCACUCAACAAUCAACAUAAGAAGAUUCCAUAUAAUAAUAAUAAAAAACAACACAUAAAAAUAUUCACUUUAAGGAACUGCAUUUAUGUGGGAAUGUGUUGUGCUGCAUUGCAAUGAUCAGAUUUCUAUAAGAAAUUCUAAAUUAAAAAAAUCCCUAAGAAAAGGUUCUGUUACAUAUCUAUGGCAAUGAUAUCUCAGCAUUGCGUCCACACACAAUAUUUAAGACAUACUGCCAUUUGCAGCUCAAUAUCAGGGAUCAUAUAAAAGCACAAAACUUUUAUCAAGCACAUAUUAUUGGUAACUGAAUGGACCAUAAACUGAUGGUUGACAAAAUGAGAACUCUUGAUAAAAAAGUCUAGAAGUUCCCACAAAAAAAUUUAUGUUCUUAAAAGAAAUUAGUCUCUAAACUGCAGAAUAAGCAAUUCGGAAAGACCAUUGAGCAAAUAACUCAUCAGGCAUCACUUGCGCUACUAUAUUCAAGAGGAUAUACUCAAGAGGAGCUUCUAGUAUGAAAUUCAUCUAUUUGAAGAACUAAAGGAAGCCAAGGUGAUGAGCCAAAGACAAAAACGUCAUAGGACCAUCAAGCUAACAGAAGCGCAGAAGAAGCAUUAAACAAAACACGGUGAUAGAAACAAGUGUGUGCCAUGCAUUUGUAUGUACGCUAGAGCAUGCAGACUUCUUCUACAGAAAGGUAACAAACACAAUCAAACCAAAAUGAAAAGGUACAAAGACACAUCUCUUGUAAAUUCAGUCUGCAAGCAUGUAGUUGUCUGCAAAGAACAGUUGACCUCAUGUUACCUGGCAAAAAGAAUCAAUUACAAAAGCAGGAGUUAACAGCCUUCACAAAUACCAGCUCACCUUUCACAAGUUACCAACUUAACAAGGGCUUGCUUGUUUUCACCAGCUUCAAAAUAAGAAAAGUUCACCUCAUAGCUUGCCAAGCCAUUUUUUUCAUCACAAUGCUUGUUACCACAUACAAACUGCCCUUUCCCAGAUAUGACUUCCUUCUCUGUUCUCCAUCUCAAACCAAUCUUUCCACUCUUGUAUUGUGACAUGUCAGCUAUGCAGUAUCUUCAAAGAGUUAAAGUCAACGAACAAGGCUUUAAGGGUAUGUCUAAUUACAAUGUGAUAACAGCAAACAAUAUGGUUUAAAACCAGAAUAAAAAAAAGACCAAAAAAGUUCAGAACUUCAGAUAAAUAAAAUAAGACAUUCUGACAAAGGAUACUCUUUAAAAAGCUUAUCAUAGUAGCGCUUGACCAACCUUUGCUCCCAGGAUGUAUCCAUAUCAUCUUCCUCGGUACGUAUGAACCUUAAAAAGUUGAAGAGAUAAUUAAUAUACAAAGCAAAAUUUCAUAUCAGAAAGGACGUCAAAAUAGACUAUCUAAUAUGUUACAAAUUCCUAGAAUUGAUCCAUGAUGAUAAAGUCCAUCGCUCAAUAGAAAAUAUUCCGGAGUUCCAGCUGCCUCAAACUAUAACUCUUUAACCAUUUCUCAAUGUAACGCGAAAUCAAAAAGCUCAACUUAGAAGCAAAAAAGAUAAAGUUGCAGACAAUAUAUAAUUAUGGAUGCACAGUGAUUCACAUGAAUUUUGUUACAAGACCAGCAUACCGAUAUCCUUCUCUUAGGGUGUCCCGGUCCGUUUUAACUGGCAAUUUCACAUUUGAAGACUUUUCUUUCCCAUAGAAGCUAACUGCAUCAAAUUGAACCCACCAAAGUACAACAAAAAAUUCAAAACAUAUCUUAAUAUGCUACAAUCUGGUCUUAUCACCUACAUCAUAGCACAUAAAAACAAUCAAAAGAAGUACUUUUUUUUUUUUUUUGUGGUAAGGAAACGAAAUGUAAGGAUGAUUGUAGCCUUCUUCCUUCUUCAGUGGAAGAGACUGUUCAUCAUCCAUUUGCUAUAGGACAAAAAGGAUUUCACAAAUACAAAACUCCCCAUUUGCAUAAUUCCUUUUAUAUCCACCUUUCAGCUAACAAAACAAAUAAAGAGUUUUUCAAAUUAACAACUUCAUUUUUCAAAUUUUAAAGCUUCAAAUCAUCAACUAGCUAAACCGUACGGUACCAUAAUCGUUCAAGAAUUUCUUGUGCCGAUCGUAGGCGUUGAGACCUCGAAUGUAAGCUUGGUAUUGCCUGUCAAAAACAGUUUUCAGCACCCAAAUCCAUUGAAGAACAAAUAUCUAGAGCAAUACAGGGAUCAAAAUGUUAAUUAGAAUUAACAAAGAGGAAAAAGGCGUCCAGACGGUACUGUUUUCUCUCUUCUCUGUCGUAGAUUGCCGAUUUUAGAGACCCAAAAGAAGCCAUUUUAACCCUAGCUAGUCUGUGGCUUUUGGACUUUAAGGAAUUGCGGCUCUCUCUCUCAAUUCUUCGAGUUUUACAUCAAUUUGCAAAUUAGGGCUGUACACAGGAGAGCUGGAAGGAAAACUGAACGUAAUUACAAGGGAAGUUUACGGAGAA